ACUGCAAGCAGCUGACGAGAAACUGCUUCUUUCAAUUAAGGAAAAUCUCAAAACUUAGAAAUAUAGUUUCAAGAAAUGAUUUGGAGCUAAUCAUUCACGCCUUUGUGUCGUCGCGGUUAGACUAUUGUAAUAGUUUAUUUUUAUGCCUAAACCAGAAGGAGCUUUCUCGACUGCAAUUAGUACAAAACUCUGCAGCCAGAAUUUUAACACGUACUAAUAGGAGGUCUCACAUAUCACCAAUCCUAAAAGAACUUCAUUGGCUACCAGUGUCUUAUAGGAUAAAUUUUAAAAUUUUGGUUUUAGUUUUCAGAGCUUUACAUGGCCAGGCUCCACCCUAUAUUAGUGACCUGAUUCAGCGUUAUACCCCUGUGCGUGCUCUGAGGUCUGUGGAUCAGAACCUGCUGACGGUUCCACGCACUCGCUACCGUACUAGAGGUGACCGAUCUUUUCAGGCUGUUGCCCCUAGGUUGUGGAAUGACCUUCCACCAUCUAUGCGCUCUUCUGAUUCUGUUGAUGCCUUCAAAUGCAGACUAAAGACACAUUUAUUUGUUCAGGCUUUCAUUUAGCUACUUGUGGGUUGAUAUGAUCAUGUACUGUCUAUGCUUUUAUUGUGUGUAUUUUAUGAUAUUAAUGUUUUUGUUGUGAAGCACUUUGUGGCCCUAUACCUGUGAAAGGUGCUAUAGAAAUAAACUUUUACUUACUUACUUA
Molecule: long non-coding RNA, 708 nt
Organism: Micropterus dolomieu (smallmouth bass)
Lineage: Eukaryota; Metazoa; Chordata; Actinopteri; Centrarchiformes; Centrarchidae
Exons: 2
Source: RefSeq, a predicted model, not a curated record